Molecule: ribosomal RNA, 439 nt
Filed under: uncultured bacterium
Lineage: Bacteria
Description: partial 16S ribosomal RNA
Rfam family: Bacterial small subunit ribosomal RNA
Source: RNAcentral
CUACGGGAUGCUCCAGUGAGGAAUAUUGCACAAUGGGGGGAACCCUGAUGCAGCAACGCCGCGUGGAGGAUGACGCAUUUCGGUGUGUAAACUCCUUUUAUAUGUCAAGAAAAUGACGGUAGCAUAUGAAUAAGCACCGGCUAACUCCGUGCCAGCAGCCGCGGUAAUACGGAGGGUGCAAGCGUUACUCGGAAUCACUGGGCGUAAAGGACGCGUAGGCGGGUUGGAAAGUCAGGUGUGAAAUCCUACAGCUUAACUGUAGAACUGCACUUGAAGCUUCUAAUCUAGAGUAUGGGAGGGGGAGAUGGAAUUAGUGGUGUAGGGGUACAAUCCGUAGAUAUCACUAGGAAUACCUAAAGCGAAGGCGAUCUCCUGGAACAUUACUGACGCUAAGGCGUGAAAGCGUGGGGAGCAAACAGGAUUAGAUACCCUCGUAGUC